GAGAAUGAGAGGAGGAGGACCUCCAAUGGAGAACAUGGGUCCUCAGGGCCGCCCCAUGCAGGGCCCUCCCUUCCCCGAGCAGGCACAGUCAGGAGACUUUCCCAUGGGGCCCGGGCGACCCUUCCCUGGAGGACCUGCAGGGAUGAGGUCCACAUGCUGACCCUGCCUUUGGUCCAGAGCACAGAGCCACACCCACAGGAGGUAAUGCCGCAUCAACCACCUCCCCUCUGCCGGUGGUCCUGCACAAGGUCAGAGAGGCCGCCAAACCAGCAGAUCUGAAUGUCCAAGCAGGAUGGGGGGAACUCUCCCAGUGUUAACCCACUAAAGUCCCCUCCUUUGAGGCAAGUACAGUCCCCGAUGAUGGGCUCUCCUUCUGGAAAUCGUAAAUCCCCUCAAACACCGUCCCAGCUGGCCGGUAUGCUCACGCGUCCCACCGGCCCCCAACGCCCCUCCAGCCCCUCCGACCUCUGCACCCAUGAAGUCUCCCCACUCCAUGAUGGGAUCGGCAGGCGCCUCUUCCCGUUCUAUGAGGUCCCCCUCGCUACCGAACCCGUCUCCGGGCUGGGCUUCCUCACCAAAGCCACCCAUGCAGAGUCCAGGAGUCCCCCCUCAGGGUGGCAAGCCCUCCUCUCAGUAUCACCUCACCAAACAUGAUGGGGAGUAUGGAGCCAGGAGGGAACGGCCCCCCCUCAGCUCCUCCGUCAUCAGGAGCUCCAUCUGGCUCCAUGCCCUCUCAGGCAACGUCCGUCUGGCGUCCGUACACCAUACCCCCCGAACCAACACUAUCCCAGAAUCCCCUCUCCAUCAUGAUGUCACGCAUGUCCAAGUUCGCAAUGCCCCAGCUCCCUCACUUUACCACGACGCCAUCAAGACUGUUGCCAGCUCUGAUGAUGACCCUCGCCUCCAGCUCGCUCCCCGAACCUGCCUUCAGUGAACAAUAUGGUAAGAAUUUUUUGGGGAAAAAAAACCUGUGUUUUAGUUUCAUCUCUGUGAGCAGUUUGCCUCGUUUUCACAUGUACCUAUGUUAUUCAGUUUCAUAAUAAUUAUGG
Molecule: long non-coding RNA, 1049 nt
Filed under: Salarias fasciatus (jewelled blenny)
Lineage: Eukaryota; Metazoa; Chordata; Actinopteri; Blenniiformes; Blenniidae
Description: lncRNA (ENSSFAG00005011220.1)
Source: RNAcentral